GGCUCGUCUGAAGGUAGUGAGUUAUCUCAAUUAAUUGUUCAGUCGGUUACAGACUGUGUUCUACUCUUUCCCCUCUUCUCACUGCUGCACUUGACUAGUCUUAA
This is a Y RNA of Pongo abelii (Sumatran orangutan), 104 nucleotides long. It matches the Rfam family "Y RNA". Rfam says of the family: Y RNAs are components of the Ro ribonucleoprotein particle (Ro RNP), in association with Ro60 and La proteins. The Y RNAs and Ro60 and La proteins are well conserved, but the function of the Ro RNP is not known. The record is from Ensembl. Lineage: Eukaryota; Metazoa; Chordata; Mammalia; Primates; Hominidae.